RNAcentral lists this ribosomal RNA (483 nucleotides) under uncultured bacterium. RNAcentral's name for it is "partial 16S ribosomal RNA". It matches the Rfam family "Bacterial small subunit ribosomal RNA", at positions 28 to 523 of the family's 1533-position model. The record is from RNAcentral.
GACGAACGCUGGCGGCGUGCUUAACACAUGCAAGUCGAACGAUGAAGCCGGAGCUUGCUCCGGUGGAUUAGUGGCGAACGGGUGAGUAACACGUGAGCAAUCUGCCCUUGACUCUGGAAUAACUGCGGGAAACUGUAGCUAAUACCGGAUACGACACCUUGGGGCAUCCCAGGGUGUGGAAAGAAUUUCGGUCAAGGAUGAGCUCGCGGCCUAUCAGCUAGUUGGUGAGGUAAUGGCUCACCAAGGCGACGACGGGUAGCCGGCCUGAGAGGGUGACCGGCCACACUGGAACUGAGACACGGUCCAGACUCCUACGGGAGGCAGCAGUGGGGAAUAUUGCACAAUGGGCGAAAGCCUGAUGCAGCAACGCCGCAUGAGGGAUGAAGGCCUUCGGGUUGUAAACCUCUUUUAGCAGGGAAGAAGCGAAAGUGACGGUACCUGCAGAAAAAGCACCGGCUAACUACGUGCCAGCAGCCGCCGUAA